This 426-nucleotide long non-coding RNA is filed under the name Trifolium pratense (red clover). RNAcentral's name for it is "long non-coding RNA (TPRA_LNC008402)". Lineage: Eukaryota; Viridiplantae; Streptophyta; Magnoliopsida; Fabales; Fabaceae. The record is from RNAcentral.
CCUAAACAUAGCUAGCUAGGUUAUAAUUAUAUAGGGGUUGGGGUGGGGGACCUUCAAUCAAUCACUAGUCAUUCAUCCCCUCUCUCUCUCUUUCUAUACUAUCUAUCUAUCUAUCUCAUUUCUUUUCCUUUUUAUCACAGCAAAACUUUUGCUAGGGUUUCUGUGAUUGAACCUGUAUGUAUUUACUUCCUUGAGAGUUGAGAUAACAAAAGAUUCCUUGUUUCCUUCCAAGAAUACUAUUCAUUUUUGUCAGGUACAAUUACUUACUUUCAGUACUAACUUUCUAUUUAUGGAAAAUAACAAUAGUUUUAAUCCACUUGUAUAUUAACCUUUGGUUCAUUAACUAGAUCUCAUCAAUAUAUAUUUUCUGUCUCUAUUUCAGUUCAUUCAUUCAGAUCUCAUUUAUUUAUCAGAAUGGUGAGAGGA